AGUGAACGCUGGCGGUAGGCCUAACACAUGCAAGUCGAACGGCAUCACAGUAAGAGCUUGAUCUUGCGGAUGGCGAUUGGCGGACGGGUGAGGAAUACAUCGGAAUCUACUUUUUCGUAGAGGAUAACGGAGGGAAACUUACGCUAAUAACGCAUACGACCUACGGGGGAGAGCAGGGGAUCUUCGGACCUUGCGCGAUUGAAUGAGCCCAUGUCGGAUUGGAUAGUUGGCGGGGUACAGGCCAGCCAAAGCGGCGAUCCGUAGCUAGUCUGAGAGGAUGAUCAGCCACACUGAAACUGAGACACGGUCCAGACUCCUACGGGAGGCAGCAGUGGAGAAUAUUCGACAAUGGGCGCAAGCCUGAUCCAGCCAUACCGCGUGGGUGAAGAAGGCCUUCGGGUUGUAAAGCCUGUUUGUUGGGAAAGAAAAGCAGCAGGUUAAUACCCCGCUGUUCUGACGGUAACCAAAGAAUAGGCACCCGCUAAGUUCGUG
RNAcentral lists this ribosomal RNA (492 nucleotides) under uncultured bacterium. RNAcentral's name for it is "partial 16S ribosomal RNA". It matches the Rfam family "Bacterial small subunit ribosomal RNA", at positions 29 to 507 of the family's 1533-position model. The record is from RNAcentral.